GAUGAACGCUGGCGGCGUGCCUAACACAUGCAAGUCGAACGAGAUGCGUAUUAGAAAGCUUCGGCCGGAAGAUGCGUUAUCUAGUGGCGGACGGGUGAGUAACACGUGGGUAACCUGCCUUAUGGAGGGGGAUAACAGAGAUAAAUCACUGCUAAUACCGCAUACGCACACAUUACCGCAUGGCAGAGUGUGAAAAGAUUUAUCGCCAUAAGAUGGACCCGCGUCUGAUUAGCCAGUUGGCAGGGUAAAAGCCUACCAAAGCAACGAUCAGUAGCCGAUCUGAGAGGAUGAGCGGCCACAUUGGGACUGAGACACGGCCCAAACUCCUACGGGAGGCAGCAGUGGGGAAUAUUGCACAAUGGGGGAAACGCUGAUGCAGCGACGCCGGGUGAGUGAAGAAGUAUUUCGGUAUGUAAAGCUCUAUAAGCAGGGAAGAUAAUGACAGUACCUGACGAAGAAGCCCCGGCUAACUACGUG
RNAcentral lists this ribosomal RNA (477 nucleotides) under uncultured bacterium. RNAcentral describes it as "partial 16S ribosomal RNA". It matches the Rfam family "Bacterial small subunit ribosomal RNA", at positions 28 to 507 of the family's 1533-position model. The record is from RNAcentral.